UACGUAGGUGACCAGCGUUGUCCGGAUUUACUGGGCGUAAAGAGCGCGCGGGCGGUCGUUCAAGUCGAGUGUGAAAGCCCCCGGCUCAACUGGGGAGGGUCAUUCGAUACUGAUCGACUCGAAGGCAGGAGAGGGAAGCGGAAUUCCCGGUGUAGUGGUGAAAUGCGUAGAUAUCGGGAGGAACACCAGUGGCGAAGGCGGCUUCCUGGCCUGUUCUUGACGCUGAGGCGCGAAAGCUAGGGGAGCAAACGGG
This 253-nucleotide ribosomal RNA is filed under the name uncultured bacterium. RNAcentral's name for it is "partial 16S ribosomal RNA". It matches the Rfam family "Bacterial small subunit ribosomal RNA", at positions 524 to 776 of the family's 1533-position model. The record is from RNAcentral.